AGAGUUUGAUCCUGGCUCAGGACGAACGCUGGCGGCGUGCUUAACACAUGCAAGUGGAGCGACGAACCAGGGCUUGCCCUGGGGCAGAGCCGCGAACGGGUGAGUAACACGUGGGUUACCUGCCCCGAUGACCGGGACAACCCGAGGAAACUCGGGCUAAUACCGGAUGUGGUCUUCGGACGAAAGGAAGCUUCGGCCUCCGCAUCGGGAUGGGCCCGCGGCGCAUUAGCUUGUUGGUGGGGUAACGGCCUACCAAGGCUUCGAUGCGUAGCUGGUCUGAGAGGACGAUCAGCCACACUGGGACUGAGACACGGCCCAGACUCCUACGGGAGGCAGCAGUGGGGAAUCUUGCGCAAUGCGCGAAAGCGUGACGCAGCAACGCCGCGUGGGGGAAGACGGCCUUCGGGUUGUAAACCUCUUUCAGUUGGGACGAAGCUUCGUCGGUUAAUAGCCGGCCGGAGUGACGGUACCUUCAGAAGAAGCCCCGGCUAACUACGUGCCAGCAGCCGCGGUAAUACGUAGGGGGCAAGCGUUGUCCGGAAUCAUUGGGCGUAAAGAGCGUGUAGGCGGCCCGAUAAGUCCGCUGUGAAAGU
RNAcentral lists this ribosomal RNA (593 nucleotides) under uncultured Actinomycetes bacterium. RNAcentral's name for it is "bacterial SSU rRNA". It matches the Rfam family "Bacterial small subunit ribosomal RNA", at positions 8 to 601 of the family's 1533-position model. The record is from RNAcentral. Lineage: Bacteria; Bacillati; Actinomycetota; Actinomycetes.